GCUAAUACCGCAUACGACCUACGGGUGAAAGCGGGGGACCGAAAGGCCUCGCGCUAUUGGAGCGGCCGAUGUCAGAUUAGGUUGUUGGUGGGGUAAAAGCCUACCAAGCCGACGAUCUGUAGCUGGUCUGAGAGGACGACCAGCCACACUGGGACUGAGACACGGCCCAGACUCCUACGGGAGGCAGCAGUGGGGAAUUUUGGACAAUGGGCGCAAGCCUGAUCCAGCCAUGCCGCGUGCGGGAAGAAGGCCUUCGGGUUGUAAACCGCUUUUUUCUGGGAAGAAACGCGCUGAGCUAAUAUCUUGGCGUAAUGACGGUACCUGAAGAAUAAGCACCGGCUAACUACGUGCCAGCAGCCGCUGUAAUACGUAGGGUGCAAGCGUUAAUCGGAAUUACUGGGCGUAAAGCGUGCGCAGGCG
Molecule: ribosomal RNA, 420 nt
Filed under: uncultured bacterium
Lineage: Bacteria
Description: bacterial SSU rRNA
Rfam family: Bacterial small subunit ribosomal RNA
Source: RNAcentral